RNAcentral lists this ribosomal RNA (775 nucleotides) under uncultured marine bacterium. Its description in RNAcentral is "bacterial SSU rRNA". It matches the Rfam family "Bacterial small subunit ribosomal RNA", at positions 94 to 883 of the family's 1533-position model. The record is from RNAcentral.
AGCGGCGAACGGGUGAGUAACGCGUGAGCAAUCUACCUUAGUUACAGGGAUAGCCCGAGGAAACUCGGAUUAAUACCUGAUAUUCUUUACAUUUCGCAUGAAAUCAAAAGGAAAGGUCAGCCGAACUAAGAUGAGCUCGCGUUCUAUCAGCUAGUUGGUGAGGUAAAAGCUCACCAAGGCAACGACGGAUAGCUGGUCUGAGAGGACGAUCAGCCACACUGGGACUGAGACACGGCCCAGACUCCUACGGGAGGCUGCAGCAAGGAAUAUUGCGCAAUGAGCGAAAGCUUGACGCAGCGACACCGCGUGUGGGAUGACGGAUCUAGGUUUGUAAACCACUUUCAGGAGGGAAGAAAAUGACGGUACCUCCACAAGAAGCCCCGGCCAACUACGUGCCAGCAGCCGCGGUAAUACGUAGGGGGCGAGCGUUGUCCGGAUUUAUUGGGCGUAAAGAGCUCGUAGGCGGUUCAACAAGUCGGUCGUAAAAGUUCAGGGCUCAACCCUGAAAUGUCGAUCGAUACUGUUGUGACUAGGAUACGGUAGAGGUGAGUGGAAUUCCGAGUGUAGCGGUGAAAUGCGUAGAUAUUCGGAGGAACACCAAUUGCGAAGGCAGCUCACUGGGCCGCUAUCGACGCUGAGGAGCGAAAGCUAGGGGAGCAAACAGGAUUAGAUACCCUGGUAGUCCUAGCUGUAAACGAUGGAUACUAGACGUAGGAACUGGAUUGACGGUUCCUGUGUCGUAGCUAACGCGUUAAGUAUCCCGCCUGGGGAGUAC